GAGGAGGAGAGAGGAUGGUGGUUAGGAUUUUAAAACCACUACAGAUUUUCUAUGUCACAAGCUUAUUUUUUCAACAUUCAAAACUAGAGGUCCAAGACUGGAGUCUACAGCCUGACCGAUAUUAUCUUAUAUCAGAUAUACAGUAUGAAUAUCUAUUUAUAUGUUGGCUGAUAAGCCACAAGAAAUUUCUGUACAGAAAAACAGAAGAUAUAUUUCAAGUAAUUUAGAAAGAAUGAUGCUAUUAUGUAGUUUGUCCACCAGAAAAGAACAAAAAGUUGUUUAUUUACAAAUCCAGCAACAUUCUCAUUUAUUUUGGGAUCUGUGUCCACCUGUUGAAUAUAAGUCACAUAAUAUUCACUUUACUUGUCUCUGUUUUUGGUCUCUACCAACUAGCAGGUAUAGUGUACAGUGGGUUUAUCAAAGCCUUUUCGUUAACAGCGUCUGCCUGCUGUUACCAAAACAGCUAUUGUUAAAUGCUGAAGGACACAAAGUAGAAGCACAGUCCUGUGUGUGAAAUCCCUUUUUCAACCGGGGAUGAACCUACCCUUUAGUGGAUUCUUAUGAAAAAUGUUUGUUUAUGUAAUGUGUUUAUGCAAAAUAAAAACUGAUUGAUGAAAACUGAAUUUUCUACACUCUCAAAGUUCAAUGUUGUGGCUCAAAACUCCAGUAUUUGUUGGGCUAUCCAAGACUCACCAGACUACACACAAUAUAACAUAGUUCUUGGUAACACUUUAUUUUAAGGUGCUUGUAAUAAGCAGUAAUUAACACUUUAAGAUGCUUAUAAACACAAAUAAUUGUUAACUAAAGCACAAUUAACAAAUUUAUAAUUGCUUAUAAGACACUAAUAGGCUGUUAUUAGAAACUUGUUGAUGGUUUAUAUACCUGUCAUUAACAUUAAUAAGAUGUUUAUUAACAUUAAUUAGACUUUAUAAGGAUUGGUUAUUGAGAAAAUAACAGUUGUUAUUUCCUUGUAAGACACUUGUAGUGAACUUAUUAAAAUAAUCUUAAUGUUAAUAGGCAGCUUAUAAAAUACAUCUUUAUUAACAUUGAUAAGACUUUAUAAGUAUUUUCUCAAAAUAUGAAUGAACACAUUUCUUAUUUCUUAUUAGCAUCGGUAUGAGCACUUACUAGAAACUUGUUAACAAGUUAUAUAUAGGCCUACCUUAAGAACCUUAAUAAAAUGUUUAUUAACAUUAAUAGUAAUAUCCCAAAAUACGUUUAUUAUUGGCUUGUAAGAUAUUUAUGAGCUCCACCCAAACAGAAGAGGUAGCAGAGAUCCCUCUUUAUUAAAACUUAUUUAAGACUGCACCAAAUUCCAAGUAGGAGUAAAUGUUGUAAUGUAAUUAAAUCUGUGAUAUUAACAAUAAAAUGUUAAGUUUGUAUCUUUACAUGAAUAUAUCAAGUUUUGAAUAAAUAGGGCCUAUGUAUUGUGCAUUUUUUCUUUACAAAAUGUAUGAAGUAAUCACAGCCAAUCUUCUUAGUUACACACACACACACACACACACACACACACACACACACACACACACACACACAACAAACCUAUAUACUCAGUAUAAAAAAUUAUUGUGCAGGAGGAGCCUGGAGGAGCCUGGAGGAGCCUCGUUGACUCCAACUUCCCUUCCUGUUCUGUUUGUCUGGAAACCCCUUGCAUUUCAUACGAGGAACGUGGAUGUAAUUUAAGGUACGAAAACAGUUAGCAAAGUGGUUAGCUACGUGUCAUUUGGAGAUAAUGUUGUUACAUUGGAUUUAUACUGGAAGCCGGAGUAAGGUAUCUAAGUUACUAUUAUUUCUUAAGCUGGUAGGUGGCUUUAGUGGCUUCAUGUGUAAUUGAAACUCUGCCAGUGUGCCGAUAGUUGGCUCUAGUAUGAAGUUAAUUUGAAGCUAAUGUUAGCAUGCAGCUAUAAAAUAAGGCAUGUAGUGUAAGCCAACAUAGGCACCUGGAUGUUUAGAGCAGCUUGAAUAAUGUCUUAGAGUAAUUUAACUUUGUUUUCUUUUAACCUGGACAUUUGAAAUUGGUAGAAGGCGAUAGAAGCUACAAUGUAACAUUAAGAGGCAGCUACACGCCUUCAAUUUACAUCCACAACAUGUGCUUGUUUUGCCACUGACAUGCUCAGAUAAUUAUUCUGUGUCUGACAACAUUAUGGAAAGGAUCCCUGCUGAGGUCGACCUUUUGUUAAAGAGUAAGAUCCUUUUUGUUUUAACAUGGAACAUCCCUGAAAUCGCCAAACCCACCAGACUCUAUUCGAAUUAACCGUAAUUUUAUCAUCAUAAAACACAUUUCAUUUAAAGUCGACAGAAACAAGAUAAAACCUUCACAAAACAUCUUAGUUGUCUUUCCGUUGUUCCAACAACCACCACUCUGGUUUGGUUGAAAUAACCCUAAAUUCAACCAUUUACAUGUAACAAUUAUGCUGGCUCUAUACAUGCUAAAAGUAUUGAUUAUUAAAUGGAGUCUGGUGUGUUUGGUGAUGGCGAUUUUGGAGUCGUUUCUGGUUAAACGAAAAUAAUUUUAAUCUUUACAAAAAUGUCUCUCUCUGUAAGGACCCUUUCUAUAAUGUUGUCAGACACUUAUAAUAACAAUCUGAACCUGUUAUUGGCAAUAACAGCACUUUUAGUGGAUAGUAAAUAAUACAUAUAUAUAUGUAUAUAUAUGUACAGAAGUAUAUAGGGUAGCUGUAUUAGGAAUGCAAAUUACCAAGUGAUGUGCAAUCUGUGCAUAUUGAGUGUGUGAAUCUACAAUUUACAGUUAUAUUAACUAGCUCAUGGGCCAGGCAAAAAGUUGUUUUCAUUUCAGAUGGCAGAGUUCUACUUGUCCUGUUUGGGGGUUUUUUUGCAUUUCACAGAGCAAAUUGAUAGAUCUAAAUAGUUUUUUUUACUAUGAACAGCAAGAUUUCAUUUCAAAUGUGUAUGCACCAGAUGUUGCUUGCUGUGCAUUAGUUCCCAUUACCUUGAUAAUCUAUUUUUAUUGAUCCUAUGUUGGUAGUUUCUAGGGUUACUUUUUCUUGGUAUACUGUUUCUCUUUCCCAUGUGUCUCUAAUUCCUUUUCACAUUCCCAGGGAAGUUGGACAGACACACGUAGAUUGGAAGGGAGGAGCUGUUGGGAAGGAAUUUGAUGAGACCCUUGACAUCAUAAACGAGGCAUGUACUUUUAAUAUUGUAGCUGUUGGUUUAAUGUUGUAGCAUUCUGAUAUCUGUACUGUAAGAUAAUCUCGUAUUCCAUAUAUUUGAAAGAGAGAAGCUGUGAUCAGAGGCCUCAUUCUCUACCUUGAGGACUUAAUCAAGGACUAUCAGGUUUGUGAUGACAACGAUGCUUCAGCCAUCCAAGAGGCCCUCCCUUAGUUUGCACUCAACGUAUUUGUGGACAAGAGAAAUCAGGGAGGGAGGUCUUAAAAAGCAAGCUGGAAUAGCCAUCGCAGGAGCACUGGUCCUUUUUGGUGUUCCCAUUGUAGGGCUUUCACCUACCUAAUGGGCCUUUUAAGGUUUUUCAGAAGAUCUUCGUGGAGCUGGAGGAUGGGAACCAAAAAUGUUCCCCAAAGUCCACGAUCUCAAGGUCAUCUUACUGGCCUAAAUGCCAUACAGACAUUGUUGAAGGUGGAGGACUGAAAAACACACUUGUAUGGGGGUAUUUAUGUUUCAAUAUUAUUUGUGUGAACAGAUGAGCGAUCUGUGUGUAGAUGUGUAAUCGAAGUGUAAAAACACUUCGCACAAACACAAAAUGAAGAUUUGUAAACUCACAAAUAUUUUGCAAAUAGAAAACAGAACUGCAAAUACACAAAUUCCACAAAUAAUAAAAAUAUCUGUGAAUAUAUUAAAUAGUUUACAAAUAAGUGAACCACAUUUGUUUAGGUAGCUGCAAAGGAGCAUUGUUAAUGGUUAAUAAGUGCAUAAAUAAGAAUAUAUUAGCCUUUAUAAGGCAGUAAUAUAAACUUCUUACAGUCUGAUUGUCAGUCAUUGAAAAUCCUAUUAACAUUGAUAAGUGGUCUAUAAACCUUUAACAAGUUUCUAAUAAGUGCUCUUAAAUAUAUACAAGUGUAAUAUCUUACAAGCAAUAAUAAAUGUGUUUUAGGACAUUACUAACACUCAUUAAGUUCACUAAUGCUAAUAAACAUCUUAUUAAGGUUCAUGAGGUAUAUAUAACUUGUUAACAUGUUUCUAAUAAGAGCCUAUAAUUGUCUUAUAAGCAAUAAUGUGUUAAUUAUGCUGUAACACUUAUAUUGACUUAUUUAUGUUUAUAAGCAGCCUAUAAGGUCUAUAAGUGUCUUUUAACUAUUAAUUACUGCCUAUUACAAGCACCUUCAAAUACAGUGUUACUGUUAGUUCUUAAUAAUGAGAUACUAUUCUGCACAGGAUUUUUUAACUAUCUUGAGAGCUUUAUGCUGGCGCUGCAACAAUUUGAUUAAUUGAUUGGUUGAUCAGCAGAAAAUAAAUCGGUAACAAUUUUGAUAAUCUGAUAUUAUCUAAGCAGUUUCUCAGCAAGAAUCUCAGGCUCCUGCUCAUCAAAUGUGAAUAUUUCCCUGUUUUUCAUAAACUUCUAUGACAGUAAACUGAGCCUCUUUGUCCGAAUGGUCCAACAAAACAAGACAUUUUAAAAAGUCACCACGGCUUUCAGAAUAAUUUCAUAGCUCACCCCAGUAUUUGUGCACAAAGGCCUCCAAUCCAUCCUUCACUGCCUUCCCCACAUCAGGGUCCAGAGCAAUCCAUUCUGUCUUCUCCAGCUUCCAGACUAACGCUAGUACCUCCAUCAACUGGCUGUGAAGAUCCAGUGGCUCCAGAAUGGCUCUGGAGAUCUCCCUUCGCCUCGGGCUAACAUGGCUGGUCACAGCAUCAAGACCUUGUCCCUCAUGCAGAAUAAAACUAUAGUAGCCUUUCAAAAUCUCACUGAGGGCCUGCGGCUGUUCAGACGUAGGUAGGUUGGUGAGGUCCAUGCCCAGUAUAGCUCCAUCCAUGCCCCCAUUAAUAACAGCAUUAGUUGCCAGAGUGGCAGCCCGAGACAGCUUGAACACCUUAGGGUGGUCCACACUGUCCCAGCACCCGUUAGGCCCCAGGCGAUAAGAUGGCGGGAAGUCCUGGAGGCUGAAGAAGGACAGGCCCAGCGUCCUGCCUAAGGUGAGAGGGAAGAUCCCAACAGCUGGCGUCCCCUCCAACUUGGCUUUCAAUCCCGAUUCAAUUCCUAGCAGUAAAGGUGCAAGGGCUACUGUGGUGCCAUCUGGAGCGAGAACUACCCCACGUUCCUCUCCGUAAUCUGUCACAAUGUGGUGGAUGGC
Molecule: long non-coding RNA, 5267 nt
Organism: Micropterus salmoides (largemouth bass)
Lineage: Eukaryota; Metazoa; Chordata; Actinopteri; Centrarchiformes; Centrarchidae
Exons: 2
Source: RefSeq, a predicted model, not a curated record